AAUGGAGAAUAGAUUAAGAUGCUAUGGAUAUGUACAAACAAAUAUCUAAGUAGGUUUAUACAAGUGGAGGUAAUUUAGUUUGUCUUGAAAGUUAUAAGAAAGAAAGAGGAAGACCUAAAUUAAUAUGGAUGGAGAUUGUGAGGAAGGACUUGGAUAAACUUGAAAUAAUGCCAUGGAUGGUCCUCGAUAGGAAUACAUGGUGCAUAAGGAUCCACAAAGUGCCAUGUCCC
This 230-nucleotide long non-coding RNA is filed under the name Elaeis guineensis (African oil palm). Its description in RNAcentral is "long non-coding RNA (EGUI_LNC061128)". The record is from RNAcentral. Lineage: Eukaryota; Viridiplantae; Streptophyta; Magnoliopsida; Arecales; Arecaceae.